Non-coding RNA from Callorhinus ursinus (northern fur seal), 985 nucleotides. The record is from RefSeq and is a predicted model, not a curated record. Lineage: Eukaryota; Metazoa; Chordata; Mammalia; Carnivora; Otariidae.
GUGUUAGGGAGAAAAAGUUGUCAGAAAUACUCAGGAACUCUUAGGUUUCUGGGCUUAGGCAUCUGCCACACACACGCCCCCACCCCUGCCCCCCGUAGGGUAGGUAACGGGUAGAUCCCAAGAGGUGUUUGCUUAGAGUCUGCUUCUCUAGAUCUGACAGGGCUCCUUCCGGGUCCCUGGGUAAAGGCGAAGCAGAGCCUCAGCCUGGCCUACUGUUCAGAGAACAACAGCUACAAGAAAAGAACAUCAAGAGAAAUGAUGUUGCAAAAUUCCUCCCAGACCUGGCCAAAGCUUACAUCAGCCAGUCAUGUGCAUUUUAAGCUCUAUUAUUCAGUUAAGAAAUGGAUUUGUCCUUGUAAGUGCUGCAAGAUCUGGCACUUAACACCUGAGAUGGGAAGGCACUUUUUUUUUUUUUUUUUUAAAGUAGCAGAAGCUCUGGACAAUCUGGGAGUUAUAAAUGUAACCUCUGGACAGCCAACACAGGGCCUGCGGCUCAGACCUUUCCACUGAGGCAUCUCCCAAUUUCCUUGGGGCGGUGAGGGGGAGAUGGAAGGACAGGAAAAAUGCCUGUCAAGACAGAAGACCUGAGACCAUCGGCAAAGGCAACCUUUCUGGGUGGUCCACCGUGAGAGAGGAGUUCCCAGGUCUCCUCUGUGAGGUGGGUCACGGUGAGGUCAGUCCUCAUGCUCAAGGCCAACGCCCAGAAGGGAGGCUGCGAGAAUCGCUUGACUCCACCAGAAUUCAGACUUCACAAAAGUGACGAUGAACCUAGAAAAUACUGAAGCAUACAACAAUACCCACUGUAUGGAACCUUUCUGAUGCUGGGGACUGGGGAAAAGGCUCCUUCCCACAAGCAGGAAGGGCUGUCUUCCUGUAAGGCCGAGCUUGGGAGCUCCCAAAUUUUGGGCCAGGAAGAUAACCAAACUUUCUGGAAACCAGCUUUUUAUUUUGCCACAUAAGGACUUUAAAAAUAAAACGUAUAAAA